This 244-nucleotide ribosomal RNA is filed under the name uncultured bacterium. Its description in RNAcentral is "partial 16S ribosomal RNA". It matches the Rfam family "Bacterial small subunit ribosomal RNA", at positions 528 to 772 of the family's 1533-position model. The record is from RNAcentral.
UAGGGGGCGAGCGUUAUCCGGAUUUAUUGGGCGUAAAGCGUGUGUAGGCGGUUUAUUAAGUCUAAGAUCAAAGCCCGAGGCUCAACCUCGGUUCGUCUUAGAAACUGGUAGACUUGAGUGCAGUAGAGGCAAGUGGAAUUUCUAGUGUAGCGGUUAAAUGCGUAGAUAUUAGAAGGAACACCAGUGGCGAAGGCGGCUUGCUGGGCUGUUACUGACGCUGAGACACGAAAGCGUGGGGAGCAAA